This 484-nucleotide ribosomal RNA is filed under the name uncultured bacterium. RNAcentral's name for it is "partial 16S ribosomal RNA". It matches the Rfam family "Bacterial small subunit ribosomal RNA", at positions 30 to 507 of the family's 1533-position model. The record is from RNAcentral.
AUUGAACGCUGGCGGCAGGCCUAACACAUGCAAGUCGAGCGGAAGCACGGUGCUUGCUUGUGGUUUCAGCGGGGGAAGGGCGAGUGAUGCAUGGGAAUCUCCCGGGCUGCGCUGGAUAACGUCCGGACGCAGGCGCUACUACCGCAUACGUGCAGAGGGAGUACGUGGGGGAUCUUCGGAUCUUACGCCCUCAGAUGAUUGUAGGGCGGAUUAGCUAGUUGGUGGGUUAAAGGGCUACCAAGGCGACGAUCCGUAGCUGGUCUGAGAGGAUGAUCAGUCACACUGGAACUGAGACACGGUCCAGACUCCUACGGGAGGCAGCAGUGGGGAAUAUUGGACAAUGGGCGAAAGCCUGAUCCAGUCAUCCCGCGUGUGUGAAGAAGGCCUUCGGAUUGUAAAGCCCGUUUGGUGGGGAGGAAGGGCAGUAGGUUAAUACCUUGCUGUUUUGACGUUACCAAAAGAAUAAGCACCGGCUAACUUCGUG